RNAcentral lists this ribosomal RNA (720 nucleotides) under Pseudomonas sp. Its description in RNAcentral is "bacterial SSU rRNA". It matches the Rfam family "Bacterial small subunit ribosomal RNA", at positions 37 to 749 of the family's 1533-position model. The record is from RNAcentral. Lineage: Bacteria; Pseudomonadati; Pseudomonadota; Gammaproteobacteria; Pseudomonadales; Pseudomonadaceae.
AAGGGGCGGGCCUAAAAAUGCAAGUCGAGCGGAUGAGUGGAGCUUGCUCCAUGAUUCAGCGGCGGACGGGUGAGUAAUGCCUAGGAAUCUGCCUGGUAGUGGGGGACAACGUUUCGAAAGGAACGCUAAUACCGCAUACGUCCUACGGGAGAAAGUGGGGGAUCUUCGGACCUCGCGCUAUCCGAUGAGCCUAUGUCGGAUUAGCUAGUUGGUGAGGUAAAGGCUCACCAAGGCGACGAUCCGUAACUGGUCUGAGAGGAUGAUCAGUCACACUGGAACUGAGACACGGUCCAGACUCCUACGGGAGGCAGCAUUGGGGAAUAUUGGACAAUGGGCGAAAGCCUGAUCCAGCCAUGCCGCGUGUGUGAAGAAGGUCUUCGGAUUGUAAAGCACUUUAAGUUGGGAGGAAGGGCAGUAAGUUAAUACCUUGCUGUUUUGACGUUACCGACAGAAUAAGCACCGGCUAACUUCGUGCCAGCAGCCGCGGUAAUACCAACGGUGCAAGCGUUAAUCGGAAUUACUGGGCCUAAAGCUCGCGUACGUGGUUCGUUAACUUGAAUGUGAAAGCCCCGGGCUCAACCUGCGAACGGGCAUCCAAAACUGGCGAGCUAGAAAUGGCAGAAGGGUGGUGCAAUUUCCUGUGGUAGCGGUGAAAUGCGUAGAUUUAGGAAGGAACCCCAUUGGCAAAAGGCGACCACCUGGGCUAAUACCUGCCCCCUC